Molecule: long non-coding RNA, 1110 nt
Organism: Nicotiana attenuata
Lineage: Eukaryota; Viridiplantae; Streptophyta; Magnoliopsida; Solanales; Solanaceae
Exons: 2
Source: RefSeq, a predicted model, not a curated record
CAACGGUGCUGCCCUUCUCCAUCCGAUCCCUGCAGCGUUUCAACCCAUCAAAACUCGCCAAACUCAGGCGAGUUCACUCGCACACGACCUUAUCUCACCACGUCAUCAAGAUGCUAACGGUCUCUGAUAGAUUCUCUCAUUCUCACCUCUCUUCUCACGUGUUGGAAGCCUCUAGAAGGCAUAUGCUGGAUGAAUGGGGAGCGUGGGAUUGAUUUCAAUUGAUCCCAGCCCUUCAUUCAUCAGGUUUUUGCCUAAUAAGUAGAGGAAUUUUCAAAGAAGAAAGGGGUUCUGGAGACAGAUUUUCGGAGAGAAAUUUUUAGAGGUAAAGUUCUAGGGUUAGGUCGAGUUUCAAGAUUUUCCUUCUGAAUUUCUAGUCGAUUUUCUUGAAAAAUACAAAUCUCUUCAGUUUUUUUUUCUUUUAUUUCAAUAUCAGAAAAAAUAAAAAUAAAAAGUCUGUUUCUUCUGUUUCAAUUUCGAAAUUUUGGUUUUUAAAAUGGAGUUUGAUUGAGGCGUUUUGGGAGUUCAUCGUUUGUCGUUCGAGUUUCGCUGGUUCGAAUUCCUUUGACGAUUUGUUGUUGUUCUGGUUCAAAUUUUUUUCGCUGGAUUCGUGUACUUGCCGAUGUUUGCAUAGUGAAAGAAUUUUCUUUAACAGGUGAACUAUCUGGAGCUAGAAAUGGUGUUCAACGUGCAUUAGUGUAUACUAUUCUCAUCUCGUUUAGUUCAGAUUCACUCUAUAACUUUCUUCCUUAGACACGUGAUGUCUAUUUGAGAUUUAGAGACUGCUAUUCAAGUGUGGUUUCGAGGAACAUGAGCUACAUAUUGUUUUUUUUUCUUUCUGAGAAAAAAAAAUCUGUUCCCAUGAGAUUAUCUGUGUGAUUUGAGUUCUGAAGCUGCGAUUAAAACUUGUUGCCUUGAUCGUAAUCAUAUAUCUAACUUCCUGAAAUUAUGAAUGCGAGCUUGAAACACCAAGGCAUCUAUUCUGAUAGUCUAUUCAAGCAUGGUUGAAAAUGUGUAAGGGAUGAAUUUGUGCUGUAUUGAUGUGCGUUAGCGUGAAGGCAGCUGACUACUUUGUUAGCUUAUUUGUGUAUUUAUUUAUUUAUUUUGCUCUCU